Non-coding RNA from Loxodonta africana (African savanna elephant), 71 nucleotides. Lineage: Eukaryota; Metazoa; Chordata; Mammalia; Proboscidea; Elephantidae. The record is from Rfam.
ACCCUGGUGGCUUAGUGGUUAAGCGCUAUGGCUGCUAACCAAAAGGUUAGCAGUUCGAAUCUACCGGGGCU